CGGCAAUGUGCAGAGAGAAGGGAUAAGGAGCUCAGACGACGCCUUCAAGAUAGUGAACAGAAAUUAGGGAUGUCAAUGCCUCUAGAUCAAGCAAAGGAAAGAGCCACUCAACUAGAAUCAGAAGUCACAUCACUGGAGAGGCACUUAAUUUUGGCAAGUGGAGUUGAAGGUAUGGAAGGUUUUCGGCAACGAUGGAGUCUACAUGGUCGCGUAACUGAUACCAAGAGGAGGCUGGAGGCCCUGAAGGGGGGAAUGGAGAACAGAAAGAAGGAUGAGCCAGCUGAAAAUAUCUCUGCCAAGAAAAACUGGUCCUUCUGGUGGAAACAAUAGUUACUCCUCCCUCACCAUCCAACAAAUUGUUACUUUUGUACACUUCUAUUGCCAUUGUUGGUUUCGUUUUACACAGGUGAAUCCAGGAUUUGAAGUUUUAGGGUUCCUACAG
RNAcentral lists this unclassified non-coding RNA (442 nucleotides) under Hevea brasiliensis (rubber tree). The record is from RNAcentral. Lineage: Eukaryota; Viridiplantae; Streptophyta; Magnoliopsida; Malpighiales; Euphorbiaceae.